GCGGUCCGCCAUCUGGUGAGUACUGCCAUUACGUCGGGUCUCUUCUUCUCGUGUCUUCACUGGGUGCAUUAGGUAUUACCUUGAAAAAAUCAGAAUGUUUAAAGCGGACAAUAGGACAGAUGGUUCCAUUCUGUUGGUUGGGACCACCGUA
This 151-nucleotide ribosomal RNA is filed under the name uncultured fungus. RNAcentral describes it as "partial small subunit ribosomal RNA". Lineage: Eukaryota; Fungi. The record is from RNAcentral.